This 497-nucleotide ribosomal RNA is filed under the name uncultured bacterium. Its description in RNAcentral is "partial 16S ribosomal RNA". It matches the Rfam family "Bacterial small subunit ribosomal RNA", at positions 28 to 507 of the family's 1533-position model. The record is from RNAcentral.
GAUGAACGCUGGCGGCGUGCCUAAUACAUGCAAGUCGAGCGAACAGACGAGGAGCUUGCUCCUUUGACGUUAGCGGCGGACGGGUGAGUAACACGUAGGUAACCUACCUAUAAGACUGGGAUAACUUCGGGAAACCGGAGCUAAUACCGGAUAAUAUUUCGAACCGCAUGGUUCGAUAGUGAAAGAUGGCUUUGCUAUCACUUAUAGAUGGACCUGCGCCGUAUUAGCUAGUUGGUAAGGUAACGGCUUACCAAGGCAACGAUACGUAGCCGACCUGAGAGGGUGAUCGGCCACACUGGAACUGAGACACGGUCCAGACUACUACGGGAGGCAGCAGUAGGGAAUCUGCCGCAAAGGGCGAAAGCCUGACGGAGCAACGCCGCGUGAGUGAUGAAGGUCUUCGGAUCGUAAAACUCUGUUAUUAGGGAAGAACAAACGUGUAAGUAACUGUGCACGUCUUGACGGUACCUAAUCAGAAAGCCACGGCUAACUACGUG